ACUCCUACGGGAGGCAGCAGUGGGGAAUAUUGCACAAUGGGCGAAAGCCUGAUGCAGCAACGCCGCGUGAGGGAUGAAGGCCUUCGGGUUGUAAACCUCUUUUAGCAGGGAAGAAGCGAAAGUGACGGUACCUGCAGAAAAAGCACCGGCUAACUACGUGCCAGCAGCCGCGGUAAUAC
This 179-nucleotide ribosomal RNA is filed under the name uncultured bacterium. Its description in RNAcentral is "partial 16S ribosomal RNA". It matches the Rfam family "Bacterial small subunit ribosomal RNA", at positions 335 to 526 of the family's 1533-position model. The record is from RNAcentral.